RNAcentral lists this ribosomal RNA (495 nucleotides) under uncultured bacterium. RNAcentral's name for it is "partial 16S ribosomal RNA". It matches the Rfam family "Bacterial small subunit ribosomal RNA", at positions 28 to 507 of the family's 1533-position model. The record is from RNAcentral.
GACGAACGCUGGCGGCGUGCCUAAUACAUGCAAGUAGAACGCUGAAGGAGGAGCUUGCUCUUCUGGAUGAGUUGCGAACGGGUGAGUAACGCGUAGGUAACCUGCCUGGUAGCGGGGGAUAACUAUUGGAAACGAUAGCUAAUACCGCAUAAGAGUAGAUGUUGCAUGACAUUUGCUUAAAAGGUGCAAUUGCAUCACUACCAGAUGGACCUGCGUUGUAUUAGCUAGUUGGUGGGGUAACGGCUCACCAAGGCGACGAUACAUAGCCGACCUGAGAGGGUGAUCGGCCAGACUGGGACUGAGACACGGCCCAGACUCCGACGGGAGGCAGCAGUAGGGAAGCUUCGGCAAUGGACGGAAGUCUGACCGAGCAACGCCGCGUGAGUGAAGAAGGGUUUCGGAUCGUAAAGCUCUGUUGUAAGAGAAGAACGAGUGUGAGAGUGGAAAGUUCACACUGUGACGGUAUCUUACCAGAAAGGGACGGCUAACUACGUG